UCCCGCACGAGAACCCGAGACGCCCCGGCGCUAGGGUUCGCUCCGCCGCCGCGCCCCAUCCCUCCGCUCCCGGCAACCCUCGCCACCUUCUCCUAUCCCCAGUCGUCGUCGUAGUACCUUGUCGUCGGUCCGGUGCGCGAGGGCAGGAGCCACGCGAAGCACCAGGCUGGUGGAGGCGCGGGGGAGGAGGAGGAAGACGAGGCAGCAGGACGGUGAGGGGAGGACGCGAGAGGGCGGCCGCGGUGGAACGGGAGGACCAUCUGAUGUCUUCGGUGGGGUAGCCCAACCCACCACUCCUCCUCCUGCGACGACGACAGAGGGCAGAGGACCAUCCAACUAUGUUGCUGCGGCUGAUGGAAUUGGGGAGGCGGCUUUGGUGAGAAGUCCGGUGGACCGAGGAACCACGGAUGCGGCGACGGAGGCCAUGGAGACUACUCAUCCUUGGUCCAGAAUCUUGCCAGACCACCCAGAGAUGACAAGCAUGCGCAUAUUUGAGAUGAUGGAUCUUGCUGCACCUGAAGAGAUGGUUAAUAUGAAGAACUUCCUAAUUGACUUCCUUGAGCCAUUCGCGCUGAGAGCUGGCUGGGAGGCCAAGAGUGGGCAGGGUAACUUGAAUGUACUGUUAAGAGGUACCCUCUUAACUGCUCUUGCUGAACUAGGCCAUCAGUCUACCAUAGAUGAGGUUGUUCGUCGAUUUAACCACCAUUGCGUGUGCUAUAGGUUCACAAAUCUAGAUGCCUUUGCUUGCCAAAUAAAAACCGAAGAAUAAUUAUGUUAGGAAGUUACACUAGCUUUGACGGUCUGAACAUUCAUGGAAUUUUUUCCGGCAUUGCAACCACAUUGAGCACUUCAGCUGUAAGUCUGUAAGCAGUUCUCUUUCAAAGAGAAAAAUGUAUACAUGCUUCAGUGAAUGGCCGGCCCUUCUAUUUAAGUAACAUUGCAAUUGUUAUUGCUACUUGCUAAUCGGUAUGCACUAGCAGUGCGGGGAAGACUUUCUCCAAAGCUCUUAAGAGUCCUCAAUCCAUUCACAUACAUAUGCAGUUUGAUUCAUGUGAAAUCAAUGACUGAUUAUCUAUGUCAACGCCAAGGGAAGUGGAGGACGAGGAUGGGGAGUUGGGGAAGUACAAAUUAAGGAUGAUUCAAUUUUAUUUGUUGGCUGAGGAACAAGUGUCAAGAUUGCUGCACCUCGAUUUAAUUUCAUGGCUCAGUCUGCACUUGGAGGAAGUACUUUGUAGCGUAUACUGGAGAGCACUGCCGCCGUAGGUUCAUGCCUUGGUGCUCCUCACCGGCGCAAUUUCCCAACCAUCUCUUCCUAUCGCCAUGUUCUCCUUUUUGCUGAAGGAACUACUUUGGAGAGACUGAAAACAUGGGACCAUAUGGUGGCUGAAGAAGGUGGACAUCAUUGAUUGCCUGUUGCAUUCUUGUUAGGAGGCAAAUCAACAAGCACUCUUAUCUUACUUAAGGACGGAUUAGAUGCGAAAUAUUAUUGUCUGUUCGAUUCGUGUUCUAUUUAGUGGAUUCUGAAAGAUGAAACCAGUAUGGUGGCAUCUACCAAAGAACCAUGGCAUGUCUUUUCACGGAAGUGGUGUGUGACCAUGAAUGCAGCAAUGAGGAUUGCUAUGUCGAUUCUUUUGUUGUAGCAGACUACUGAUAUGAUAGUCAUAUGUAUAUUAUUUUAACCUUACAAAGUAACCAGUGGGUUAGAGAUCACAAAGUCAGGUUUAACACUCUAGAAGUGAACUUAAUUGGUUUGCUGAAGUGAUUAUCUAGAGUUUGUAUGUAUUUUUUAUUUAUGGUUUGAUCUUGUAAGAAAUAACAGGAAGAUAUAAACCUCUGACUCCGAGUAUGAGUUCAUAACUGUAGGUGUUGCAGCAAGUGUUAUCAAAGAUUACUUGAGUCCACUGAUAUAGAAAUGUUUAAAGUUGCAGGUCUUAAAAACCAAGCAUGGGGUCCUUCCCCUCCCUAGGUCUGAGGUUAUCAUUGAGGUAGCAAUAGGCUUAAUAAAAGAAACAAAAUAAAACCAUCUCAAUGAGCUUAGAAGAAACACAUCAUCAGCGGCAGGAGCUUUGCCGAACAUGAGCUUUACCUUAUCGGAGAACCAAGAACAGAGAGUGCAGAGAGGAGAAAAGAGGCUCAAGAUGGGUGCGGUAAAUUAUUGUUGCAGUACAGAAAAUAUUUUCUAUUUAAGAAUGGAUUUCUUUUCAAAAAUACUGAGUACUUUAAAUAUUGUUUUUCUACUUGCAAUGCUUUG
Aegilops tauschii subsp. strangulata is the source of this 2251-nucleotide non-coding RNA. Lineage: Eukaryota; Viridiplantae; Streptophyta; Magnoliopsida; Poales; Poaceae. The record is from RefSeq and is a predicted model, not a curated record.